GGGCCAAUCGUAUAGUGGCUUAUUAUGCUGUCUUAGGGCAAUCACCUCUUUCCAGAGGAUGCACUCUAAGUUGACAGAGGUCCCCGGUUCGAUUCCGGGUUGGCCCC
RNAcentral lists this transfer RNA (107 nucleotides) under Sporisorium reilianum f. sp. reilianum. RNAcentral's name for it is "transfer RNA-Pseudo(AGG)". Lineage: Eukaryota; Fungi; Basidiomycota; Ustilaginomycetes; Ustilaginales; Ustilaginaceae. The record is from RNAcentral.